RNAcentral lists this transfer RNA (87 nucleotides) under Pseudochryseolinea flava. RNAcentral describes it as "Chryseolinea flava tRNA-Leu". It matches the Rfam family "tRNA". Rfam says of the family: Transfer RNA (tRNA) molecules are approximately 80 nucleotides in length. Their secondary structure includes four short double-helical elements and three loops (D, anti-codon, and T loops). Further hydrogen bonds mediate the characteristic L-shaped molecular structure. tRNAs have two regions of fundamental functional importance: the anti-codon, which is responsible for specific mRNA codon recognition, and the 3' end, to which the tRNAs corresponding amino acid is attached (by aminoacyl-tRNA synthetases). tRNAs cope with the degeneracy of the genetic code in two manners: having more than one tRNA (with a specific anti-codon) for a particular amino acid; and 'wobble' base-pairing, i.e. permitting non-standard base-pairing at the 3rd anti-codon position. Lineage: Bacteria; Pseudomonadati; Bacteroidota; Cytophagia; Cytophagales; Fulvivirgaceae. The record is from RNAcentral.
GCCCAGGUGGCGAAAUUGGUAGACGCGCUACUUUGAGGUGGUAGAGCCUUAACCGGUGUGCUGGUUCGAGUCCAGUCCUGGGCACAA